AAUCUCAAAAAAGCGUUCUCAGUUCGGAUUGUGGGCUGCAACCCGCCCACAUGAAGUUGGAGUUGCUAGUAAUCCCGAAUCAGCACGUCGGGGUGAAUGCGUUCCCGGGGAUUGUACACACCGCCCGUCAAGCCAUGGGAGCUGGGGGUACUCGAAGUCGGUCACGCCAACCCGCAAGGGAAGCGUCCGCCUAAGGUAAAACCAGUGACUGGGGUUAAGUCGUAACAAGGUAGCCCUACGAGAACGUGGGGCUGGAUCACCUCCUUU
This 267-nucleotide ribosomal RNA is filed under the name Clostridiales bacterium. RNAcentral describes it as "partial 16S ribosomal RNA". It matches the Rfam family "Bacterial small subunit ribosomal RNA", at positions 1270 to 1533 of the family's 1533-position model. Lineage: Bacteria; Bacillati; Bacillota; Clostridia; Eubacteriales. The record is from RNAcentral.